UACGUAGGUGGCAAGCGUUGUCCGGAUUUACUGGGUGUAAAGGGCGUGCAGCCGGAGAGACAAGUCAGAUGUGAAAUCCACGGGCUCAACCCGUGAACUGCAUUUGAAACUGUUUCCCUUGAGUGUCGGAGAGGUAAUCGGAAUUCCUUGUGUAGCGGUGAAAUGCAUAGAUAUCACGCAGAACUCCGAUUGCGAAGGCAGCAUACCGGCGCCCUACUGACGCUGAGGCACGAAAGCGUGGGUAUCGAACAGG
This 253-nucleotide ribosomal RNA is filed under the name uncultured bacterium. RNAcentral's name for it is "partial 16S ribosomal RNA". It matches the Rfam family "Bacterial small subunit ribosomal RNA", at positions 524 to 776 of the family's 1533-position model. The record is from RNAcentral.